UAGGGAAUCUUCGGCAAUGGGGGCAACCCUGACCGAGCAACGCCGCGUGAGUGAAGAAGGUUUUCGGAUCGUAAAGCUCUGUUGUAAGUCAAGAACGAGUGUGAGAGUGGAAAGUUCACACUGUGACGGUAGCUUACCAGAAAGGGACGGCUAACUACGUGCCAGCAGCCGCGGUAAUACGUAGGUCCCGAGCGUUGUCCGGAUUUAUUGGGCGUAAAGCGAGCGCAGGCGGUCUGAUAAGUCUGAAGUUAAAGGCUGUGGCUCAACCAUAGUUCGCUUUGGAAACUGUCAAACUUGAGUGCAGAAGGGGAGAGUGGAAUUCCAUGUGUAGCGGUGAAAUGCGUAGAUAUAUGGAGGAACACCGGUGGCGAAAGCGGCUCUCUGGUCUGUAACUGACGCUGAGGCUCGAAAGCGUGGGGAGCGAACAGGAUUAGAUACCCUGGUAGUCCACGCCGUANCGAUGAGUGCUAGGUGUUGGAUCCUUUCCGGGAUUCAGUGCCGCAGCUNACGCANUAAGCACUCCGCCUGGGGAGUACNANCGCAAGGNUG
Molecule: ribosomal RNA, 549 nt
Filed under: uncultured bacterium
Lineage: Bacteria
Description: bacterial SSU rRNA
Rfam family: Bacterial small subunit ribosomal RNA
Source: RNAcentral